This is a long non-coding RNA of Anolis carolinensis (green anole), 6366 nucleotides long. RefSeq lists it as uncharacterized. The transcript is spliced from 2 exons. The record is from RefSeq and is a predicted model, not a curated record. NCBI's taxonomy places the organism in Eukaryota, Metazoa, Chordata, Lepidosauria, Squamata, Anolidae.
CCGCACCCUGCCAAGGAGACAGUAAGCAAACACUGAGCUGGCACCGGAAGCACACCUGCCCUGAAGGGAGUUCAACGCAGGGAAAGUUUUCACAGGGCAAUUUUGCCACAGCAUUGCUUGUCCCAGAACUUUGAAUGGAUGAGGUGCCUCAAGUGACUCAGGUAAUGCCAGUCAGCCCUCCUGUUAUACAACACAGGAAGGAGAGUGUUUUUCUGAAAAUUGGAGCUCAGAGCCAAAGUCUACAAUAUUUGGUUGGCUGGGUUUUUCCCGUUUUGACAUGUUAACAAAGUGGAGUUGGCAUUCAGUGAGAUAUGCUUGCCUAAAUCGAGCUGUGCAUGUGAGGCAGAUUAUUCACUAUAGCACGACACACAUAGUCUGCUAACAGCAGCGGAAUUGAGUUGGGCAUAUGUGGAGCUUGUUUCCAAAAGGUGCCAAAUCCAUCUGAACACCUUUUACAGGAAUAUGCAAUUUUCCAAGCCCUGUAGCAAAGUGAUUUGAUAUACAGUAGAGUCUCACUUAUCCAAGCCCCGCUUAUCCAAGCUUCUGGAUUAUCCAAGCCAUUUUUGUACUCAAUGUUUUCAAUACAUCGUGAUAUUUUGGUGCUAAAUUCGUAAAUACAGUAAUUACAACAUAACAUUACUGCGUAUUGAACUACUUUUUCUGUCAAAUUUGUUGUAUAACAUGAUGUUUUGGUGCUUAAUUUGUAAAAUCAUAACCUAAUUUGAUGUUUAAUAGGCUUUUCCUUAAUCCCUCAUUAUCCAAGAUAUUCGCUUAUCCAAACUUCUGCCGGUCCGUUUAGCUUGGAUAAGUGAGACUCUACUGUAUUUCGAUAGUUUUGAUUUUUACAUAAUAUUCUACUACUAACCAACAUUAUGCUGCCACCUAAAACUCAUUUUUCUUUUUAAUUUGGUACCUUUUGGAAACAAACUCCUCGAUUCCGGCCACAGGGGGAGCUGCCGCCUCAUUGUCCACUUGUGACACCGAGUACUUCAUGGAGUACUUCCUCAUUCUUCCACAGGCAGCUGGAAGUUUUUAUAGUGUCGUAAAUUAGUUAAAAUAGCCUUCCCACAUAAAGCAGUACCUACAUUUUCAACUUGACAGAAGUUGCUUAGGUCAACAAUUAGUAGGGCUAUUAAUGGUUGUUAGCUCAAUCUGACCUGGGCUAGCUUCAAACUCAUGACCUUUCGUCAGUAGUGAUGUAUUGCAGCUGGCUGCUAACCAGCUGUGCCACAGCCCGGCCAUAGCCUGGCCAUGUAACUCUGAAUGUGGAUUUAAGUGCUGUGUUGAAUGGAUUUUAGAUGGCAGGCUUCAUCUGUGUAAUUGUGUGCAUUGUAUGUACAAUACUACUGUGUAGCUACAAGUUCAGAAGAAUAGUGACCAAAGCUCUUCAGCUUUUAUAAAAGUAUAAAAGUCCAUUUUUGCUACAGGGCUUUAAAAUGCAAAAAUAAUGGAAAUUGUGUUCAAAUAGGGUAUGUUCUUGAACAACGUAUUUCUUUGAAACUUCAGAGAAUAAAGUGCUGUUGAUAAGGCAGCUCUAGUUAUAAUCCAGAAUAUGUCCUCAACAGAUCAGCAAGCAUUUGUAGUGGGUUUUUAAUCUACAAAUGGUCAUAACACUAUAUGCAUACCAAUUGCAACUCCCUAGGAAGUUACAUUUUUUAAAAAACAAAAAGGUAGGUUUUGAUUUGACAUAGUCACUCUGGUGAUAAAAAAAAUGAAUGAAAACACAAAGCAAUUGUGUGUAUCAGCACAUCUUCAACAUACAUAGCUAUUUCAGACUGUGAGAAAGAGUAGAUUUGAAAGAUCUCUGCAUUAGACUUUCUGCUAUUUCCAUGAAAAAAGAAACCCAGCACACACAAAUUUCCCAACAUGUGUACAGAUUGAGCAUUCCUUAUCCAGAAUUCCAAAAUCCAAAAUACUCCAACAUCCAAAAUUGCCGACAUGGAUGGGUAAGAUAGUGACACUUGUUUCAUGAACAACAUUAUUAAAACUAUUUAUAAAACAACCGUAAUUUAAAAUGUAUAUAGAACAUAAAUGGACUUUAUGUUUAGACUUGGAUCAUAUUAUGUAGUAAAGGUAAAGUCCAGUUGUGUCUGGCUCUGGGGGUUGGCGCUCAUCUCCAUUUAUAGCUGAAAUGCUGGCAAUGUCCAUAGACACCUCCAAGGUCCUGUGGCUGGCACAACUGCAUGGGGCGCUGUUACCUUCCUGUCUGAGCAGUACUUACUGUGUUUCCCCGAAAAUAAGACAGUGUCUUAUAUUAAUUUUUGCUCCCAAAGAUGCGCUAGGUCUUAUUUUCAGGGGAUGUCUUAUUUUUCCAUGAAGAAGAAUUCACAUUUAUUGUUGAAGAAAAAAAAAUGAACAUUUAUUAUAUACUGUACAGUAGUUGUAAUCACAAACCAGCAUAACCAGACAAACUGUGAAUCCUAUCAAUAAUUUCUUGUUACUACCAUUAUUUCCAUGUACAACUGGUAUGUACAUUUACCAAUCCUGCAUGCUCUGGUGUUCUGUUUGGCAGGCACUGGGCAUGCUUCCAAACAAAAACUUGGCUAGGUCUUACUUUCGGGGGAGGCCUUAUAUUUAGCAAUUCAGCAAAACCUCUACUAGGUCUUAUUUUCUGGAGAUGUCUUAUUUUAGGGGAAACAGGGUAUUGAUCUACUCACAUUUGCAUGUUUUUGAAUGCUAGGUUGGUGGAUGCUGGGGCUAACAGUGGAAGCUCACCCCGUGCUCCGGAUUCGAACCACCAACCUUUCGGUCAGCAAGUUAAGCUGCUCAGUGGUUUAACCUGCUGCACCAUUGGGGGCUCACAUUAUGUACAUAUAUGCAAAAAAACUCCAACACACAAGUGUCCAAAUAUGUACACAGAACUUUCAACUUGUGCAAGAAUUUCUCACCAUUGUGUGGCUUCCCAGUUUUCUAGAUCACUGAGUGGAAGAAAACAGGCUUUUGUAGUCCAUCAGAACACGUCUUUAAACAGGAUUCCUGGAGAUAAAAAUGUAAGAAAGGGAGAAUUCUUGGCAUGCUUAUAAUACUCCAGUGAAUACCUGCUUUUAUCCCUCUUAAGAUCACAAUCUAAACUCUGGGAGUGUGAGUCAGGGCAGGAAGGAUUAGUCACCAAACCAUUGUCUCUGCCUGCCAGACUAACUGUGUCCACAGACAUUACUGAGUUGUAGUUGGGGGAUAAAUCAGUAAGUAUUUGUUUUUAUUGAUAACUCAUGCUUUCUAUGUCAUAAGCAAAAGUUAACCUUGGAACAGAUACUUUUUGUUAUUCAAAGUGAUGGUAAUAAUGUAUAAAGCAUAUAUAGCUGAGGUCCAGGUUAUCUGAAGGAUGGCAUUCUAACAUAUGAGUUUGCCCAUAUCUUGAGAUCUUCUGGGGAGAUCUGUGUUUCUGUCUCAGUAUCUUUGGGGGUACAUCUGGUGGGAGAAGGUCUUCUUGAUGGCCACAUCUUGUGAACUACCUUCCUAGAGAGCAUAGAUUCAUGUCCUCUUUGCUGUCCUUCUAUAGGCAGGUGAAGACCUUUUUCUAUCAACAGCCUUUUGAGGACCGAGUUCUCAAGGAGAAAGGCUUCCCGGAAUGUGCUGUACUGUUUGUUGUUUUCUUUUUAGUGGUCAGGAUUUUAAGUGUUUGAAAAUGUUAUUGUUAAAUUUAAUUCUGCUGUAUUUUAAUCUCUCAUUGUUGCCUGUCUCAAUCCAUGGGAAGAAACUGGUGAUAAAGAUGAUGGUGAUGAUUUAAAACUUUUGUAUGAUAGGAAUUUUUUAAACCUGUUUUAAUUUCUUUAAGCCACCUUGAAUGCUGGACUGCAAAAAGCACAAGACAUUUAUCAUAAGUCAUCACCUAGUAAUCCUAGUAGGAAUAGUUGGAUCUUCAAUGGUAGAAUAAUAUGUUUUUCUUUCUGAUUUAUUUCUUUCAUUACAGUUUGGGUCGGGGAGUUAGAGCCCUUUUAUGCUUUAGUCAAUUUGUGUUUGGUAUUUUGGCUUAUUAUUAUGAUUAUGUUUGUUUAUACCCUGCUUUUUUCUCCAGAAGGAGGCUCAACAGUGUUUUAGUGUUGUUUUCAUUUGCAUUUAGUCUUAAUGAGUUGUCAAAGACUUUCAUGGCAAGAAUCACUGGGUUGCUGUGAGUUUUCCAGGUUGUAUGGCCGUGUUCCAGAAGCAUUAUCUCCUGAUGUUUUGCCCACAUCUAUGGCAGGCAACCUCUGAGGAUGCCUGCCAUAGAUGUGGGCCAAACAUCAGGAAAGAAUGCUUCUGGAACAUGGCCAUACAGCUUGGAAAACUCACAACAACCCAUUUAGUCUUAGUUCUCUCUCAGUCACUAGUAAAAACAUAACCUUAACAAAUUUAAAUGUAUAUUUAUAAAUAUACAUUUUUCUUCUUUAUUCCUUUUCUUCCUUUUAUUCUGAAUAUUUACUACAUUUAUUGUUAAUUUUAUAGUUUAAAAAAUAAUAAGCAAAUAAAUUUUUCAUCUUCAUCCCCAUCAUCAUAAUGGGGACAGAGCUGAUCAGGUUCUGUAUUUUUUGAGGCACUACCUUUACAAACAUUGCAUUCAGGGCUGGAUCAAUCUGAGUUUUUCAUAUAUGGUUCCGUUAUAUCACUGCAAUCACUUAGCAGUGAGCACUUAAAAUCAACAAGUGGAAGUGCUGAAAGAUGGGAGGCCAGGCCAGGCCAAGAUAAUUUGGGGCCCAAAGCACAGUAGCAAGUAUCUUCCAAUCCCCCAGUGCCGAGCACAUUAUUUUGGCAUAUGUAGUAGAACAUCCCACAAAUAUUUCUCCUCAUAUGUGGCAAUAAAAAUAUAACCAUAACAAAUAUUAAUUUAUUAUCCUAUGGUGACCUCACUGCCAAAUUAUAGGACCUCAUGAGAAAUGGUCAUUAUUAUUCUAGUAGAGGAUAGGAGGUGGGGAGUGGGACAGACUGAGGAAUGAGGAAUGAAUGUGCUUCUUGAAAAAUCCUCUCAUAAAGCAACUUAGCAGAUGUCUUUCCUUUCUCAACAUACUCUUGAGAAAGCGACACAGUAAAUGAUAGGGUUAUCAGAUAGCAGUGUUUGCAAAGCAGUGAGAGAAUGGUUCUGUCUCUUAUGCUAAUGGCUGCAAUUUUUCCAAGAUUAUAGUGUCAGCAGAGCCGGUCCAACAAUGAGGCGAAUUAAGCGGUCGCUUCGGGUGCAAAACAUACGGGGGCGCAGUCGAGACUGCUUUUUCUGUUGAUUUGUUGUAAAACAUGAUGUUUUGGUGCUUAAUUUGUAAAAUCUUCAUGUAAUUUGAUGUUUAAUAGGCUUUUCCUUAAUCCCUCCUUAUUAUACAACAUUUUAGCUUAUCCAACACUUUUAUUUUUCAGUGAUUGGUUUGGGGAGGGGGAGCACCAAAAUUCUGUUCACCUACACUUGAAAAAUACCUAGGGCCAACUCUGAGUGUCAGCAAGGUAAGUCAAGCAAAACCUGCUUGUUCUUUGAACUAUAUGGUUCUCUAAAUGUCUUAUUUUCUUCUGUGCCUAGGUUGUGUUUCUUCCAUAACUGUCUAUGCCAGUUUGGUUACAUGGGCAUGCUGCACCAACAGGAUUCCAGCCUCUAUCUCCAAUCUAAAGGUGGCCCUUCUUAAAGAAAAGAGUUAAUCAAGAGGUUCAGUUUUAUCUCUCAUGGCUUGAAUAGGGACAAAGACCUUUUGUUUCAGUGGAGGUAUUAAUCAGCUCAUUUAUGAAGGGAUACCUAUAUAACAACUUGCCCUUUGUUUAUUAAAUGCAAACUGAUUGGCAUUUCACUGCCUGUAGUUUUUGCAUUGUUGUUCCCUUUGGCUCUUUCCAUUAUCAUGCCUUACCAAAGUAACAGUUCUCAAUUUUUGACUCUCCAGAAGUUUGGACUUCAAACUUCCAGAAGAAUCAAACCCUAUGGGAUUCUGCUUGCUGGAGUCCAAAAUAUGUGGUGGACAAAAGUUUUAAAACCUCUGAUGUAGAAAAUAAUCUCUGGAACUUGGAUUCUUUGAGCCACCAUACAGGUGUUUUGGACUUCAGCUCCACAAUUCUUAACAGCUGGUAAGCUGGCUGGGAGUGCCUUGGACUGCAAGAAGAUCGAACCAGUCCAUACUCCAGGAAAUAAUGCCUGACUGCUCACUGGAGAGAAGGAUAUUAGAGGUAAAGAUAAAGUACUUUGGCCACAUAAUGAGAAGACAGGAAAGCUUGGAGAAGAUAAUGAUGCUGGGGAAAAUGGAAGGAAAAAGGAAGAGGGGCCGACCAAGGGCAAGAUAGAUGAAUGCUAUCCUUGAAGUGACUGGCUUGACCUUGAAGGAACUGGGGGUGGCCACGGCCGACAGAGAGCUCUGAUGUGGGCUGGUCCAUGAGUUCACAAAAUGUUGGAAAUGACUGAACAAAUAAACAACAAGCUGGUUGGGA